RNAcentral lists this ribosomal RNA (395 nucleotides) under uncultured bacterium. RNAcentral describes it as "partial 16S ribosomal RNA". It matches the Rfam family "Bacterial small subunit ribosomal RNA", at positions 523 to 918 of the family's 1533-position model. The record is from RNAcentral.
AUACGUAGGGUGCAAGCGUUAAUCGGAAUUACUGGGCGUAAAGCGUGCGCAGGCGGUUUUGUAAGACCGUGGUGAAAUCCCCGGGCUCAACCUGGGAACUGCCCUUGUGACUGCCAGGCUGGAGUGCGGCAGUGGGGGAUGGAAUUCCGCGUGUAGCAGUGAAAUGCGUUGAUAUGCGGAGGAACACCGAUGGCGAAGGCGAUUCCCCGGGCCUGCACUGACGCUCAUGCACGAAAGCGUGGGGAGCAAACAUGAUUAGAUACCCUGGUAUUCCACGCCCUAAACGAUUUCAACUGGUUGUUUGGGAUUUAUUUUCUCAGUAACGAAGCUAACGCGUGAAGUUGACCGCCUGGGGAGUACGGCCGCAAGGUUAAAACUCAAAGGAAUUGACGGGG